CUCCUCGAUCUCCAGUUGCCUCUCUGUGCAUGCACAUUGGUCACUGAUCUUGCUUACUGGGGCCCUGCAGGCCCACGGGUCCGCAGCUCCACACGGAAGCCUCCUAGCAACCUACCUCCACUUGGCACCUUUUCAAGUGCGGCAAUGAAGGCCACUGGUCCAGACAAUGCCCAAAUCCAGGUAAGCCCACCAGGCCAUGCCCCCUCUGCAGAGGACCCCAAUGGAAAUUGGACUGUGAGCGGCCCCUGCAAGGGCGGCCCCAUCACUUCCUAAGCCGGCCAAAACCUCCUACUUGGAUCUCAUUGGCCUUGCCGCUGAAGAUUGAUGGUGCCCUGGAAUGGAUGCCCCGGCAACUACCAUCGCUUCAUCCGAGCCAAGGGUAACCCUGAUGGUGGCAGGUAGGCCAGUAUUUUUUUUUUAAUUAAUACCGGGCAAACUACUCUGCUUUACCUAAUUUUUCAGGACACACCCAGUCCUCCCUUUUCUCCGUUGUGGGAAUUGACAGACAAGACUCCAAACCCUGAGCCACCCCUCCACUUUUCUGCUCCCUGCACACCUUUUCCUUCAGUCACCCUUUCUUAGUCCUGCCCUCAUACCAGAGACAUCCUUUCAAAACUCCACACUACUCUCCACUUGCACAUUCCCCAUAGUACCCAACGCAUCAACCCAGACCCCUCGGGGCAUCUAACUUUCUUCUACUCCUCCAACCUGCCACCUUAAAACAUGCAACUUUACCUUAUCCCCCAUCCGUAGUUAACCCCGCUGUUUAGAAUAUUUCCACACCUUCAGUCGCAAAACACCACACCCCCGUCCGCAUUACCCUUAAAGAGUCCACCCAGUUCCUAUCACAGAAGCAGUAUCCCAUCCCCCAAGCAGCUCUCAUAGGCCUAAAGCCUAUCAUUUCUCGCCGCCUCACCAGUCACCUACUCCACCCAAGAAACUCUCCUUUUAACACACCAGUUCUACCUGUUUAAAAGCCAGAUGGAACUUAUCACUUAGUCCAGGACCUCAGGCUCAUUAACCAAGCUGUACUCCCAGUAUGUCCAGUAGUUCCUAACCCAUAUACUUUACUUUCUGCAAUUCCCUCCAAUACCACCCAUUUUCCUGUUCUAUACCUAAAGGAUGCUUUUUUCCACAAUUCCUUUACACCCUGAUUCCCAAAACCUCUUUGCCUUUACAUGGGAAAACCCCGACACCCACCUUUCACAUCAGCUCACCUGGUGCGUACUACCUCAAGGUUUCAGAGACAGCCCCCAUCUUUUUGGACAGGCCCUUGCUCAUGACCUCUGUACCUUAUCCCUAAAACCGUCCACUCUCCUUCAAUGUGUUAAUGAUCUGCUCCUGUGUAGCCCCUCUCAAAGAGACUGCAACGCCCAUGCUAUCUCUCUCUUUUAAACUUCUUGGCAGAACGGAGGUAUCGGGUCUCCCCUAAGAAAGCACAAAUAUGAGCCCCCUUAGUCACUUAUCUAGGCCUGGCUCUUACCCCAUGAACCCGAGGGCUCACAACCGACCACAUAUCCCUCCUCCAGUCUCUCCCACCUCUGCAAACUAAGCAAGAAAUUCUCUUUCCUAGGACUAGUGGGAUAUGUUAGGCUCUGGGUUCCCUCCUUUGCUCUACUUGCCAAACCAUUAUACCAAGACACUAAAGGCCCUCUCCAUGAGCCUUCAAACCCUGCAUAGCCUAUUACCCAACCUUUCCAUCUACUCCAGAAGACUCUCAUCUCAGCCCCCAUCCUCACUCUCCCAGACCUCACCAAACCUUUCUCCCUCUAUACCAACGAACGUGUAGAGUUGCACUAGGUGUUCUAACCCAGUCUAAGAGACCCACCCUCCAGGUUAUCGCCUACCUCUCCAAACAGCUUGAAGCCACAGUUCUCAGAUGGUCUGCCUGCCUCCAAGCACUGGAGGCAGCUGCUGUCUUCAUCCUUGAAAGCCUAAAACUAUCUCUCCAUGCCAACCUAACAGUUUAUUCAACCCAUAAUAUCAAAGACAUGCUAGCUCACCACAGUGUACUAAGUCUCAUCUCUGCCCCACGGCUCCUCCAACUGUAUGCUCUGUUCAUAGAAACCCCCCAAAUCACCGUGCUAACCAGCUCUCAUGUAAACCCUGCCAUGCUCUUUCCUGAAGCUACAACCGCCCAAUACCCUACACACUUCUGUGUGAACACUGUUCAAACCUUUCUUACACCUUUUCCAAACCUAACAGCCCAACCCCUUCCAGAUGCCUCCUUUACUUGGUUUGUAGAUGGCAGCUCCUUCCUAUGUCAAGGAUGCCGGCAUGCUGGCUAUGAUAUAGUGUCACCCCCUCACACACACUACUGAAGCCAAUCCGCUCCCCCAGGCACCACCUCCCAAAAAGCUGAAUGCACUGCUCUCACUCAAGAUCUCACUCUAGUAACCAGACAACAAAUUAACAUAUAUUCAGAUUCUCAUUAUGCGUUCCAUAUAGUACACUCACACUCGUCUAUGUGGAAAGAACAAGGUUUUUUAACUGCAAAAAACACUCCUGUCAUAAAUGGCUCUCUUACCAGCAAGCUCCUUCAAGCUGCCAGACUCCCGCAGAAAGCUGCCUUCAUUCAUUGCAGGGGCCACCAAACCCGGGACAAUCCUAUAUCGGCUGGAAAUGCGCUAGCAGAUCAGGUAGCCAAACAAGUAGCCCUGCAACCCAUGCAAGGCCAGUUUCUGUCCCUGUCCUUGUUCUCUCCUCUUUACUCCUCAGAAGAAAAGGAGGACUUCUGAGCCCAAAACCUUCAAAAGCAAGGACCAUGGUAUGUCAAGGAAAGGCACUUCAUUCUUCCUCACUCUCAAAGCCUUCCUCAUCUCCAAAGCCUCCCCAACACUUUCCAUGUUGGUUACAAAUUCUCUUGCAACUUCUCCGCCCUGUUCUCACUUGUCCUCACCUUUCCAGCUAUGUUCAAGAUAUUACCCAGUCCUGCUCUAUCUGCCACUCAGUGUCACCCCAGGGCUCCCUCCGGCCACCGCCUUUUCCUACCCACCAAGCCCGGGGCCAGAUACCCAGGCACGAUUGGCAAGUAAACUUCACUCACAUGCCGCCCAAUAAACAGCUCCGCUAUCUUCUAGUCUUGGUCUGUACCUUCUCCAGGUAAGCAGAAGUGUUCCCAACAACUUCAGAAGGUGCAAAUGUCACACAAACUCUCAUCAUGCAUAUAAUUCCCCAUUUCGGCCUCCCAACAUCCAUCCAGUCCGAUACAGGCCCACCUUAAUCAGCCAAAUUAUCCAAGGCGUCUCUACGUCCUUAAGAAUAAAGUAGGUUCUCCACACACCCUACAGGCCUCAAUCUUCAGGCAAAGUUGAAAAAAUGAACUCUGUCCUUAAAGCCCAACUCACCAAGCUGGCUCUAAAAACCCAGCAGUUGUGGACAAAAAAAAUCUCCCUUUUGCCCUCAUAAGGCUCUGCGCAACACCAAAAGCACCCUCUUUUUAUAGUCCCUUUGCAAUCAUGUAUGGCUGAACUUUUGUCUUGGGGCCUCCACCCUUACCAGACUCUGAGCCCUUCAGGAAUUACCUUCCCUCCUUAAUCCAGACAGGGUCUUUCAUUUGUGAAGCAGCAAAUGAGGCCAUGCCUCUCCCUGUCCACACCGCCUUGUCCUCUCAACAUAACUGUCUUGCAGGCACAGAUGUGUUUCCAGACAAUCCAGAUGAUGCUCCUGAUACAACGACAUGGUGGACACCAGCCCGUCUCUCAAGAAUACCCAAAAAAUUAAGGUUUUCUUUUUCCAAGGUGCCCACGCCACCCCUAUGUCACGCCUGAAGUAGUUAUUGAGAAAGUCAUCCCUUUUCCCUUUUCUAUAACCAAAUAGACAGGAAUGUAAGAUUCUCCCCGGGGCCUGAAAGCUUAAGGAGAUGAAAGAAAAACUCUUCCCUUCUCAGGCCCAGUCCCAAGGCUCAAGGCUACUUGCGCCAGCAGGGUGCGCCAGGAAGAUAGCAGAAGCAGGAAGAGAGCCGGCCGGAAGACACACCCCUGAAGACCCAGAAAGAGGCCAAUCCAGUUACAACUUAGCAAUUACGUCAGACUAGGACACUUCCUGUUUACAGGAGACUGUAAAACUUUCGUCCCGUCCUCACUUGGGGUUGACGCCAUUUUAGGCCUCAGCCCGCCUGCACCCAGGCGCUCAUUAAAACAGCAUGUUGCUCCA
Homo sapiens (human) is the source of this 4155-nucleotide long non-coding RNA. RefSeq lists it as uncharacterized. NCBI's taxonomy places the organism in Eukaryota, Metazoa, Chordata, Mammalia, Primates, Hominidae. The transcript has 2 exons. The record is from RefSeq and is a predicted model, not a curated record.